UCUGUCAUUUCAGGGUGUUU
RNAcentral lists this non-coding RNA (20 nucleotides) under Rattus norvegicus (Norway rat). Lineage: Eukaryota; Metazoa; Chordata; Mammalia; Rodentia; Muridae. The record is from RNAcentral.